This is a non-coding RNA of Pteropus alecto (black flying fox), 119 nucleotides long. NCBI's taxonomy places the organism in Eukaryota, Metazoa, Chordata, Mammalia, Chiroptera, Pteropodidae. The record is from Rfam.
GUCUACUGCCAUGCCACCCUGAAUGUGCCUGAUCCCGUCCCAUCUCGGAAGCUAAGCAGUGUCGAGCCUGGUUAGUACUUGGAUGGGAGACCACCUAGGAAGACCAGGUGCUGUAGGCA